GAUGAACGCUGGCGGCGUGCCUAAUACAUGCAAGUCGAGCGAACAGACGAGGAGCUUGCUCCUUUGACGUUAGCGGCGGACGGGUGAGUAACACGUGGGUAACCUACCUAUAAGACUGGGAUAACUUCGGGAAACCGGAGCUAAUACCGGAUAAUAUUUCGAACCGCAUGGUUCGAUAGUGAAAGAUGGCUUUGCUAUCACUUAUAGAUGGACCUGCGCCGUAUUAGCUAGUUGGUAAGGUAACGGCUUACCAAGGCAACGAUACGUAGCCGACCUGAGAGGGUGAUCGGCCACACUGGAACUGAGACACGGUCCAGACUCCUACGGGAGGCAGCAGUAGGGAAUCUUCCGCAAUGGGCGAAAGCCUGACGGAGCAACGCCGCGUGAGUGAUGAAGGUCUUCGGAUCGUAAAACUCUGUUAUUAGGGAAGAACAAACGUGUAAGUAACUGUGCACGUCUUGACGGUACCUAAUCAGAAAGCCACGGCUAACUACGUGCCAGCAGCCGCGGUAAUACGUAGGUGGCAAGCGUUAUCCGGAAUUAUUGGGCGUAAAGCGCGCGUAGGCGGUUUUUUAAGUCUGAUGUGAAAGCCCACGGCUCAACCGUGGAGGGUCAUUGGAAACUGGAAAACUUGAGUGCAGAAGAGGAAAGUGGAAUUCCAUGUGUAGCGGUGAAAUGCGCAGAGAUAUGGAGGAACACCAGUGGCGAAGGCGACUUUCUGGUCUGUAACUGACGCUGAUGUGCGAAAGCGUGGGGAUCAAACAGGAUUAGAUACCCUGGUAGUCCACGCCGUAAACGAUGAGUGCUAAGUGUUAGGGGGUUUCCGCCCCUUAGUGCUGCAGCUAACGCAUUAAGCACUCCGCCUGGGGAGUACGACCGCAAGGUUGAAACUCAAAGGAAUUGACGGGGACCCGCACAUGCGGUGGAGCAUGUGGUUUAAUUCGAAGCAACGCGAAGAACCUUACCAAAUCUUGACAUCCUUUGACCCUUCUAGAGAUAGAAGUUUCCCCUUCGGGGGACAAAGUGACAGGUGGUGCAUGGUUGUCGUCAGCUCGUGUCGUGAGAUGUUGGGUUAAGUCCCGCAACGAGCGCAACCCUUAAGCUUAGUUGCCAUCAUUAAGUUGGGCACUCUAAGUUGACUGCCGGUGACAAACCGGAGGAAGGUGGGGAUGACGUCAAAUCAUCAUGCCCCUUAUGAUUUGGGCUACACACGUGCUACAAUGGACAAUACAAAGGGCAGCGAAACCGCGAGGUCAAGCAAAUCCCAUAAAGUUCUUCUCAGUUCGGAUUGUAGUCUGCAACUCGACUACAUGAAGCUGGAAUCGCUAGUAAUCGUAGAUCAGCAUGCUACGGUGAAUACGUUCCCGGGUCU
RNAcentral lists this ribosomal RNA (1372 nucleotides) under uncultured bacterium. Its description in RNAcentral is "bacterial SSU rRNA". It matches the Rfam family "Bacterial small subunit ribosomal RNA", at positions 28 to 1381 of the family's 1533-position model. The record is from RNAcentral.